UUAAGCGGAGGAAAAGAAACUAACCAGGAUUCCCCUAGUAAGGGCGACUGAAGCGGGAGAAGCUCAACAUGUGAAUCUGUGCCUGUAUUGGUACCGAAUUGUGGUCUGUUCGCGCUAUAUGGCUCGGGCCAAGUCCCUUGGAAAAGGGCAGCUGAGAGGGUGAGACUCCCGUCCGCCUGAGCCUCUGAGCGAGCAUGUUGGAGUCGAGUUGUUUGGGAUUGCAGCUCAAAGCGGGUGGUAAAUUCCAUCGAAGGCUAAAUAUUGGUGGGAGACCGAUAGCGUACAAGUACCGUGAGGGAAAGAUGCAAAGAACUUUGAAAAGAGAGUUAAAGAGUACCUGAAAUUGCUGAAAGGGAAGCGAAGGAAACCAGUGUUGCUGCGUAGUCAUAUUUCUCUAUCCGCUUGCGGCUAGGGCGCUGUGUCUAUGCUCGGGUCAGGCUUGGUUGGGAGCGGUGCAAAGGUGUAGUAGGGAGUUGACCUUCUACACUUACGCUGGUUCUGACUGAGGUUGGCAAAAUGGUUUUCUUUACCCCGUCUUGAAACACGGGC
RNAcentral lists this ribosomal RNA (549 nucleotides) under Cyclotella caspia. Its description in RNAcentral is "eukaryotic LSU rRNA". It matches the Rfam family "Eukaryotic large subunit ribosomal RNA", at positions 46 to 666 of the family's 3401-position model. Lineage: Eukaryota; Bacillariophyta; Thalassiosirophyceae; Thalassiosirales; Thalassiosiraceae. The record is from RNAcentral.